UACGUAGGGUGCGAGCGUUAAUCGGAAUUACUGGGCUUAAAGGGUGCGUAGGCGGCGUAGUAAGUUGGGUGUGAAAUCCCUCGGCUCAACCGAGGAACUGCGCCCAAAACUACUAUGCUUGAGGAAGAUAGAGGUAAGCGGAACUUACGGUGGAGCGGUGAAAUGCGUUGAUAUCGUAAGGAACACCUGUGGCGAAAGCGGCUUACUGGGUCUUUUCUGACGCUGAUGCACGAAAGCCAGGGGAGCAAACGGG
RNAcentral lists this ribosomal RNA (253 nucleotides) under uncultured bacterium. RNAcentral describes it as "partial 16S ribosomal RNA". It matches the Rfam family "Bacterial small subunit ribosomal RNA", at positions 524 to 776 of the family's 1533-position model. The record is from RNAcentral.